GACGAACGCUGGCGGCGUGCCUAAUACAUGCAAGUUGAGCGAUGAAGAUUGGUGCUUGCACCAAUUUGAAGAGCAGCGAACGGGUGAGUAACGCGUGGGGAAUCUGCCUUUGAGCGGGGGACAACAUUUGGAAACGAAUGCUAAUACCGCAUAACAACUUUAAACAUAAGUUUUAAGUUUGAAAGAUGCAAUUGCAUCACUCAAAGAUGAUCCCGCGUUGUAUUAGCUAGUUGGUGAGGUAAAGGCUCACUAAGGCGAUGAUACAUAGCCGACCUGAGAGGGUGAUCGGCCACAUUGGGACUGAGACACGGCCCAAACUCCUACGGGAGGCAGCAGUAGGGAAUCUUCGGCAAUGGACGAAAGUCUGACCGAGCAACGCCGCGUGAGUGAAGAAGGUUUUCGGAUCGUAAAACUCUGUUGGUAGAGAAGAACGUUGGUGAGAGUGGAAAGCUCAUCAAGUGACGGUAACUACCCAGAAAGGGACGGCUAACUACGUG
RNAcentral lists this ribosomal RNA (497 nucleotides) under uncultured bacterium. RNAcentral describes it as "partial 16S ribosomal RNA". It matches the Rfam family "Bacterial small subunit ribosomal RNA", at positions 28 to 507 of the family's 1533-position model. The record is from RNAcentral.